This 756-nucleotide long non-coding RNA is filed under the name Ananas comosus (pineapple). Its description in RNAcentral is "long non-coding RNA (ACOM_LNC018173)". Lineage: Eukaryota; Viridiplantae; Streptophyta; Magnoliopsida; Poales; Bromeliaceae. The record is from RNAcentral.
UUUGAUCCCAACCUAAUCCUAGCGGUCUCAAUAACCCAAACUUGCUAUGAGUUUUGAUGCUUCCGACUCACUUGAAUCCUCUAUUUUUAUCAACACUAAUAUCUCAUCUUAUUUUAAUAGUGCUAUUUUGGGUGUUAAAAAGAUUGUUCGGAAAGCCAAAAAGGCAAAAACAUGCGCAACACCUGUCACAUCCCGAAAUCACAGGGAAAGCCCACAGGACGCUAACAGACCCGCCAAACGGAUAGAGUCUCCUCUGUCCGAACGAAGCGACAACAUGAACAAAGAAGUCCCAGGUAAAACAAGAAAAUAUGUAGCCAAAUACAGCACACAAAUUAGUACCAAAAUCAACGAAACCACAAGAAAACAAAAGAUAAGUAUCAGAGCACUAUACAUCAGCUGAACCACUAUACACCAAGAAAUAAGUAACAAAAUACAAAAGUCCACACCCAAAAGCAAUUACAAGUCAUUGACCCCGGCCUGCGCAAAUCCAAAAGAAAGUAUAGUGGGUUACUAUCUAGAGGUCUGCUACAGGCAAGUAUGCUGGUAAGAUGACUAACUAGGCGCAGUCUUAGGGAUGCAAACGGGGCAGAUUUAGGGUGUAAGAUGUAAGAACUGAGAUUUUUACAGUGCAACUAAACUUUCUGUUGACGAUGUUUAUGUGUGUAAUUUAAUUACAUAAGCACUCGUCAAGUUCAAGGAGAAAAUGAGCUAAAAUGGAGAAGAUACGCGAUUUUUAGUUUUCACUUAAGUGAAUAG